AUGAAAUUAAAAAAAGGCGCCCCCCCUGCCCCGGGGGGUGGGGGCGACAGGGAGCCGGGAGCCAAGCGCUGCACUCUCCAAGCGAAGCCUCUGCAGGGAUCGGCCAACUUACCCCGGGCAAAACAACUACGCGGCGGCCGCCCCACCGUUCCCGGUCGCUCCGGCCACUUGUCCUCCCGCCCGCCCGCCGCUGCCCGCCGCGGGGACCGCGCACCGCCGCCGCUGCCCCGCUCCGCCGCUGCUCGCCCGCAGCCCCGGGGCGACGUGGGGCCGAGCCCGGCGCGGUGGCGGCCGAUGCCGGUGCGGCGCUGCCGAGGAGCGGUGGGGGAGCCGGCGCCUUCCCGGAAUGGCUCAGCCCUCGGGAGGGAGGGAGCGAGAGAGCGAGGGAGGAGGGGGGCGGCAGCGCCGCGGCUUGGUCCCACCUCCUGCCGGGCAGGGCGGCGCGGCCCUGCCCCAGCCGAGCCGAGCGGCGGAGAAGGAGAGCCGGCUGCUGGCGGCGGAGUGGAGAGAGCCGCGCCGAGCCGAGCCGAGCCGAGCCGCGCCGCCCCUUGGCCUGCCGGGCUGGGCGCUGGCCGGGCCCGGUGCGCCGCGCCCGCCGCCGGCUCGGGUUACGGGAGCCGCGGCCGCCGCAGCCAAUGCGGGGCCGCCUGGCGCCUUCGAACGGCAGGAAGAGGAAAGUGCUUCUCCCAGACCCUCCCAAGCGCUGAUCUGACUAGCAGGUCCCUGGCCAGUGGCCGGGGGAAGGAGGAGCAGAGCAGGGGGAUAUUGCAGAGCAAUCGUUCGCCACUGGCCAAAGUUGAAAAGAGAGAGAAACCUCUGGCGGCUGCGUUACAAACACAGAUCAGCUGAACCAUCCUGUGAAAAGAUUUCAUACCUCCAUUUGCCCAUCUGGCUGAGCAAUGAGGAAAACGCAGUCUCUUGGAAGAUUAUGCAGCACUCCUUAAUGCUGGCUUCUGGCAAUAUAACUGGGCCAUCCAGUUCAUUCUCUCUCCUUAUGAAAAUGGUAUGUUUUAGUGGAGGAUUUCAUCUUGUGUCCACAAAGCCUUUUUAUUUUGUGCCCUGAAACUGCUAGUAAAAUUCUACAAUGCACCGACUUGUUUUAAGGAUUUCAGGAUAUUCAGAAAAUUAUUAUGAUUGUAACCAGCAAACUCUUUGCCUUGCCAGAAAAACAAGUCCUCCAAAAGGCAUAAGUAGUAGCCUCUAAACAUUGCUACAAAGAGCAGCAUCCAAACUGGAGGCCAGUGGAGAUGAAGAGCUGUUCCUUGAAGGAAGGCAUGGGAGGUGUGUGUUCUCAAGAUGUGCCUCAAAUGCUGUUUUCCAGUCCUGUUUUGAAGUGUCCUGCAUUCACCCAAGAGGUGCACAUUCACGUGUUGGGUGUAGAUCUGCUCGGUGCAGGCAUCCUUACAGGGCUGAUGGAGCAAUACCAAGUCAGAUCUCUUGUCGCAGUGGCAGCUACAGAGUAGGCAUACACAGUAUGUUUGAGCCAAAAAGAAAAAGCCCAUAAAAAUCCCCUCACCCACAGUGUUAACUACCACUUCAUUUUCAUGGAAGUUUAUAACCAUUUUGUGCAACUCCAGAUGUGGAGGUUUUUUCCCUCAUCCCUAAUCUGUAUGUUGGUAAAGGACUGGAAGCUAAACCCUAAGAAGGAGUAGGCAAUGCUGCUCCUACCUGGGAGCUGCAGAUGAUUGGCAUGUCUCAAACACAUACAUAAUAACUGGAGCAAAAAUUUCACUGCUAAUUUAGUGUGUAGUGGGGAUCCAACUUCAUUGUGCACUCAGAAGGCUAUACACAAUAUCAGAGCAAUUUUUUUUUAAGUAUUAAGAAAAAUGUCCGAACUCCACUUACAAGAUUUGAAUCAUCAGGAUUGCCACAUGCCUGUGAGCUGAGGCCAUGUCCUGGGGAGCUGUCACAUGCUCCACCAUCAUCCACCCAAAGAGGAGAGAUACUGAGACUUUGGAAUCAAGUGUGUGCCAAGAAAAAAUUUUACAAAA
This 1991-nucleotide long non-coding RNA is filed under the name Corvus moneduloides (New Caledonian crow). RNAcentral's name for it is "lncRNA (ENSCMUG00000018343.1)". Lineage: Eukaryota; Metazoa; Chordata; Aves; Passeriformes; Corvidae. The record is from RNAcentral.